Molecule: ribosomal RNA, 253 nt
Filed under: uncultured bacterium
Lineage: Bacteria
Description: partial 16S ribosomal RNA
Rfam family: Bacterial small subunit ribosomal RNA
Source: RNAcentral
GACGUAGGGUGCGAGCGUUGUCCGGAUUUAUUGGGCGUAAAGAGCUCGUAGGCGGCUCGUCGCGUCGACCGUGAAAACCCGCGGCUUAACUGCGGGCUUGCGGUUGAUACGGGCGGGCUAGAGUUCGGUAGGGGAGACUGGAAUCCCUGGUGUAGCGGUGAAAUGCGCAGAUAUCAGGAGGAACACCGGUGGCGAAGGCGGGUCUCUGGGCCGAUACUGACGCUGAGGAGCGAAAGCGUGGGGAGCGAACAGG